ACGUAUUUACCAUAGACUGUAUAUAAUGGUAUUUACGCAGCUAAUCAACGUCAGGCGUCCUUAUGUGCAGCCACCUUUGUUCUCAAAGAUAUGAAUGAGUAGAUAGGACACGCCCCUUUGAGCUGCGUGCUACAGCGAGGCUAAGCUAGUGGGGGAAAAGUUUCAGUGCAUUCCGUUGAUGUAGACGGCGUGAAAACGGAAACAACAAGAAUGCCGUCUCACUGUGCUGCAUACAGUUACACACUACGUCGUACGAUUGAGACAAGGAAACUUGGAAUGACUUUUCAUAGGUUUCCCAGAGACUAUGGGUUGAGGAGGAAUUGGAAGUUUGUCGGCUUAGACCUGGUGUCAUUCCAUCAGUGUUAAACUUCCCGGUUCAUCUUGGAAGAGUACGUGCCAGAAAGACCACGACCAAGCAGCCUUGAGAUCUUAGACAGCGUCUCCCUGAGGUCCCUCUCUAUCUCCCCACACAUCCACCAACCACUGGAACACAUCUCCAAAGUUCUGCUGGGCCAGCUCAGCUUCCCCUCAGAAGAAGUGGCGCCACCUGCCAGAUGAAGGAGCCUUUUGAGAGGCAGCUGGCAUCGUGAUUGGACUGUACUUUGGUCUGUUCCAAUCCAGCUUCAGCUCCAGAGACGGCAGGCGGGACAAGUCAACGGAGGCCGGAUGGACGAAGACCAAAGAACUACAGACUCUUCACAACCUGCUCAAACUCUUGGUACAGGACCUCACCACACGGGUCAAGAAGGUUUCCUUCUCAUUUCUACUCUGAAGCUCACCUUCUCCUGCUCAAACUGCUGACAAAUGUUUCUGCUGCUCUAAAGUCUGCUCUCCAGAACUUCCUAAAAACUCUCAAAGUCUCUUCUGCUGCAGGUUGCUUUGUAGAACUGUUCCAGAAAACCUCACUAAACCACAUGGAGGAGCCUCAAGAUAGUCG
Long non-coding RNA from Amphiprion ocellaris (clown anemonefish), 937 nucleotides. The record is from Ensembl. NCBI's taxonomy places the organism in Eukaryota, Metazoa, Chordata, Actinopteri, Pomacentridae.